UACAGAGGGUGCAAGCGUUGUUCGGAAUUAUUGGGCGUAAAGGGAGUGUAGGCGGUUGGGAAAGUCUUCUGUGAAAUCUACGGGCUCAGCCUGUAACGUGCAGAGGAAACUACUCGGCUUGAGUGUCGGAGAGGAUAGGGGAAUACCCGGUGUAGAGGUGAAAUUCGUAGAUAUCAGGAGGAACACCGGAGGCGAAGGCGGCCAUCUGGCGAGACACUGACGCUAAGGCGCGAAAGCGUGGGUAGCAAACAGG
RNAcentral lists this ribosomal RNA (253 nucleotides) under uncultured bacterium. RNAcentral describes it as "partial 16S ribosomal RNA". It matches the Rfam family "Bacterial small subunit ribosomal RNA", at positions 524 to 776 of the family's 1533-position model. The record is from RNAcentral.